Molecule: long non-coding RNA, 746 nt
Filed under: Gouania willdenowi (blunt-snouted clingfish)
Lineage: Eukaryota; Metazoa; Chordata; Actinopteri; Blenniiformes; Gobiesocidae
Description: lncRNA (ENSGWIG00000006863.1)
Source: RNAcentral
CAGAUUAAUUGCAAGUCUUCUAAUGAUUAUAAACAGAAAUAUGUUGUUGGAACAAUAUGUAUGAUGAAUAUUUUUUUAUUCUCUGUUUUCUGAAUUACUUUAUAGGGACCCUGGCAAGUGAUGUCUUCUUCCAGGCCUAUCUUUUGGAUGGGCUAUCAAGGUGGAAUGAGGACCGGGCUGUGGCAGCAUCAAAGGAUGAGCAGUCGUGCUCAUACAACCAUCUGCUCCGUCAUGCUGCUAACACCCUAGCAGAGGAGGUUCUGGGCGAAAAGAUCAUCCCUUAUGUCGGGCCAAGACAAUACACAGGUGAGCUUAUAGGUGUGGAAUACCUCUAUCAGCAAACUGGCAAAGUUCUGCAGGACUACAAAGUGGUCAUUGAAGAGUCUGAGACCACUGAAGUUGAGAUAGAUGAGGGCUUCACAGGACAUGACAGUACCCACACUAGAGGCAGAGCAAGCACUUCUCGCCUCACAAGCAUCUGCAGCUGUUCCUGGUUCCUCAGCAGCUCCAUCUCCUCAGGCUACUGCCUUUGUGCCUCCCAUUCCCCCCGUUAUCCCUCUGUUGCCAGUGACUCAGUCACAUGUCGCCUCAUCAUCAGCUUCUGCAGCUCCUUCACCUGCUGUGACCGCUCUGCUCCCCCAUUCCACACAAACAGUUUCUCCUGCAGAACAGUCUAGUGAGUUUUACACAACUGUUUCUAAAAUCUCACGUUUUGCUUAUUUUUUUAAAUUUAAAAUGUUUUACUC